RNAcentral lists this small RNA (240 nucleotides) under Arabidopsis thaliana (thale cress). Its description in RNAcentral is "ATSL097740". The record is from RNAcentral. Lineage: Eukaryota; Viridiplantae; Streptophyta; Magnoliopsida; Brassicales; Brassicaceae.
AUGUUAUCUUAACCUCAUUGGUUUUGAUACAUGAUCAUCAAAUGGGCAUGUGUCUCAUUUGUACUCUGUUUCCCUUGUCAAGUUUUGUCCCAAUGGGUUUUCUUGACAAGGUUUUUAAUGAGGCAAAUGAUUCACAUUCAAAUCACCCAUUUGAUGAUCCAAACCAUGGUAUAACAUUCAGAAGUUGGCCCAAUAGAAUAUAUAUGAAGUCCAACAAAUUUUAUGACCAUCACAAAAAAA